Molecule: unclassified non-coding RNA, 244 nt
Filed under: Helotiales sp.
Lineage: Eukaryota; Fungi; Ascomycota; Leotiomycetes; Helotiales
Description: partial contains small subunit ribosomal RNA, internal transcribed spacer 1, and 5.8S ribosomal RNA
Rfam family: Eukaryotic small subunit ribosomal RNA (bases 1-46)
Source: RNAcentral
AAGUCGUAACAAGGUUUCCGUAGGUGAACCUGCGGAAGGAUCAUUAAUGAGAUCAUGCCCUUCGGGGUAGACCUCCCACCCAAUGUUUACAUUACCUUUGUUGCUUUGGCGGGCCGUCGGAUUUCGGUCAGGCUACCGGCUUCGGCUGGUAAGCGCCCGCCAGAGGACCCCAAACCCUGAAUAUUAGUGUCGUCUGAGUACUAUAUAAUAGUUAAAACUUUCAACAACGGAUCUCUUGGUUCUG